GAUGUCCUACGGGGCGCAGCAGUGAGGAAUAUUGGUCAAUGGACGAGAGUCUGAACCAGCCACGUAGCGUGAAGGAUGACUGCCCUAUGGGUUGUAAACUUCUUUUAUAUGGGAAUAAAACGUUCCACGUGUGGGAUUUUGUAUGUACUUUAUGAAUAAGGAUCGGCUAACUCCGUGCCAGCAGCCGCGGUAAUACGGAGGAUCCGAGCGUUAUCCGGAUUUAUUGGGUUUAAAGGGAGCGUAGAUGGGUUGUUAAGUCAGUUGCGAAAGUUUGCG
Molecule: ribosomal RNA, 276 nt
Filed under: uncultured bacterium
Lineage: Bacteria
Description: partial 16S ribosomal RNA
Rfam family: Bacterial small subunit ribosomal RNA
Source: RNAcentral